RNAcentral lists this ribosomal RNA (253 nucleotides) under uncultured bacterium. RNAcentral's name for it is "partial 16S ribosomal RNA". It matches the Rfam family "Bacterial small subunit ribosomal RNA", at positions 524 to 776 of the family's 1533-position model. The record is from RNAcentral.
GACGAACCGUGCGAACGUUGUUCGGAUUCACUGGGCUUAAAGGGCGCGUAGGCGGGUUUUCAAGUCUGGGGUGAAAUCCUCUCGCUUAACGAGAGAACUGCCCUGGAUACUGGAGACCUCGAGGGAGGUAGGGGCAUGUGGAACUUCCGGUGGAGCGGUGAAAUGCGUAGAUAUCGGAAGGAACGCCGGUGGCGAAAGCGACGUGCUGGACCUCUUCUGACGCUGAGGCGCGAAAGCCAGGGGAGCAAACGGG